Molecule: ribosomal RNA, 498 nt
Filed under: uncultured Glomeromycotina
Lineage: Eukaryota; Fungi; Glomeromycota
Description: partial small subunit ribosomal RNA
Rfam family: Eukaryotic small subunit ribosomal RNA
Source: RNAcentral
CCAAUAGCGUUUAUUAAAGUUGUUGCAGUUAAAAAGCUCGUAGUUGAAUUUCGGAAUCAAUAUGUUGGUCGUGCCUUGGUACGUACUAGUUUAUUGGUUUCUUCCUUCUGACGAACCAUGAUGUCAUUAAUUUGGUGUCUUGGGGAAUCAGGACUGUUACUUUGAAAAAAUUAGAGUGUUUAAAGCAGGCUCACGCUUGAAUACAUUAGCAUGGAAUAAUGAAAUAGGACGUUUGAUUCUAUUUUGUUGGUUUCUAGGAUCGACGUAAUGAUUAGUAGGGAUAGUUGGGGGCAUUAGUAUUCAAUUGUCAGAGGUGAAAUUCUUGGAUUUAUUGAAGACUAACUACUGCCAAAGCAUUUGCCAAGGAUGUUUUCAUUAAUCAAGAACGAAAGUUAGGGGAUCGAAGACGAUCAGAUACCGUCGUAGUCUUAACCAUAAACUAUGCCGACUAGGGAUCGGAUGAUGUUAAUUUUUUAAUGACUCAUUCGGCGCCUUACG